Molecule: long non-coding RNA, 202 nt
Filed under: Lathyrus oleraceus (garden pea)
Lineage: Eukaryota; Viridiplantae; Streptophyta; Magnoliopsida; Fabales; Fabaceae
Description: Pisum sativum (pea) long non-coding RNA (PSAT_LNC004788)
Source: RNAcentral
AAGUCCAAAAUUUUUCUGUUAUAUUUUAUUUAUUUAUCUAUUUAUUUAUUUAUUUAUUUAUUUAUUUAUUUAUUUCGUUUUUCGUUUUUUGUUUUUUUUUUUCGUUUUUCGUUUUUUUUAACACGUGGGCUUCGCCUAGCGAGCAUGACAGUUCAAGAAAUUCCUCUGAGCGUAGGUGAUUCUGGUGGCUUUUCUUGGGACU